CGCCAGGUGUUUGAUGGGAGGUUUGAACUGGAGUUCAUCAUUAUUUUCCAUCCGUGACCCACAAGUCUUUGCACAGCGAUGAAGUUAUAUUCUUACUUGAGUGUUUUGUCUCUCGGUGUCAAUUAUAAACUAUUAAUCAUGUGUAUAUUUGUGUGUUCUUGUGAGGAGAGAAACCUUCGGGACCGAUGGUGAAGAAGUGAAGCCCAUUCGACGCUUGCUAAAUGUUCGGUAGAAGGUUCGAACCAAAAAUCAUCGUCGAUCUCGUGAUUUCGAGUUUGGUUUAGUUAUGGUGAGCUCUUUCACAAUUCAUGGUAAUUACCUUGUAUGGGUGGAGGGAAUAGACGUAGUUGUUGUGAUGGUUAUCUUGUUUAUGUAUAUGCGGGGCGUGGAUUGAAACACAGGGAUAGCGAGGAGCGUUUGAAUAGACCAGUACGUAUUAUUGUGAAGCCACGUUUUCUUGUAUUGGCGUGAAUGCGUGGGUAUGAAAUAGUUACGUCGUGUGAAGUCUAGGUUGAGAUGCAAAUUGUGUGAAUCAUUGGAUGAAGAUAUAUGCAUAGUAUAAUUAAAAAGGGAGCUCUUCUAUGUGAUGAUAUAAUGUAUAGAAUGUGCUUGGAUGAAUAUAGGUCCAUGUGGGCCCGAUAACUUGGGAGGUUCUGCGACAGCUAGUAUCGGAGCAUGAUUAAGUAUAAUACGGUCACAUACGUAUUUUUAAAACAAAGUUUUGGUUUCGAAAACCUAUUUUGUAACUAAACACAUCGUUUGGUUUUGAAAAACAAAUUUGAAAAACUAUAAUGCUAGCGACAUCCUCUGUAAGCCCUAAAUUAAGGACUACUAGGUGGCUUGAUAAAAAAUACUGACCCACAACCUAGGAAGGGUAAUGCAUACAUGUGUAUUGUUAUUUUUGAGGCCAUUCAGUUUUGAAUGGAUCGACGCUCAGGUAAUGUGAGAGCAUGACCGAACAAACGUCGGUCUAGGGAAGAGUAUAAAAAGUGCUUGAUUAUAUACAUGUUCCCCAUGUGUAUAUAUGAAAGCUGCGAUGUGGAGUAAUCACUUUUUCAGGAAUUCAGUAUCCCAUGGAUGUGUACGGGUAUAUAGACAUGAGAAUACUGAGAAAUGUAAUGUACUUGUAACGACGCACCUACGCUCAGGUAAGAUGGUGAGUUACCAUAAUGGGCUGCCCUAUGGUUAAAGUGUGGCAGCGGCGCCUAUGCGUGGCUCGGCGCUUAAUGAGGAGCUGGCUUCCAUAUAGAAAUAUAUGGAGUAAUAUGGAGUAUAAACUGUGAUAAACUGUCAUGUGUGAAUUGCAUCAUUGGGAAAUGGGCUGUGAUGGAAAUUUUCUGCAGGUACACUAACUUCGAAACAUAUGUGUAGCUGACGACUAGCAAUAUACCGAGAGAGAACGUAGAUAUGCCACCGAUAUAGAACGCUAUUGCCACAUUAUGUUGGCGAAAUUUGUGAGGACGAAUAGAACGAGCAUGCAUCUUAAUUGUUACAUUGUGUUUGUCGUUUGUGCACAAAUAUGCUUCUCUCACCUUUAUUCUAAUAAUUGGUGAUUGUGAACGAACGUGCUUCCCUUAUCUUUAUUUCGAUAAUAAAUAAUUGGAAAAUGUGGAAGCAUUACUGUCCUAUAAGCAAAUUUCUAGUUUUGUUUGUUGGGUCCUUUAAACAUGUCUUUAUGUGGUUUAUGGUUCUUCUUAAUUUGAUCGCUAGUCCAACUUGUGUUUGUGAUGGUGUGUUUGUGUCGGUAGAAUGUUGGUGGUAUGUUUGUGUAAACUAAAAAUUUGGCCAUGUCCUCAUUUAGGAGCCAUGACCCAAAUCGAUGUUAAUUCCCCGAAGUUUUUCCCCAGUUUCCAAAAGUGGACGAGUCUGAAUUCCCAUCGUUACUUUAGGACCAAGCUUAUCUAAAUAGGUGUUUAGGUAAUCUUCUCGUAGAAAAUAAAUGCACCUAAGCUUAAGACAAGGAUCUCGAGUACGUGUUUUCGUCGUUUAAUACGUGACUCUUCAGUGGUCAUGUUUUCCUCCUAAGCUUCGACUUGUUCGGUUGGUGCAAACUAGUAUCCCUAUUCCAGUUUGCCUCUGCUUGAGGAUCACAUUGUCGGUUUCUCAAUCUAACCUAGGAAAGGAAUGCCUAGUCGUUUUCUCGAAUUUAAUGCCAAUGGUUUCCUCAUAGCUCUCGAAGGCAUAUUAAUUUAAUAUCCCGGUCGUUUUUCCUGCGUAUCUAAUCAGAUGAUCAUCCUUGACCUUGAAUAUGCUGCGAUGGGCAUAGAAAUAUGCUUGGGGCUGAAAUAACAAUCUCCCAUCGUACUCCCUCAUCAACCAAUUUAGGUUUUGGUAAUCUCGUGUUUCUUUCAUCGGGCCAGGACCUAUUUGGCUCUCUACCUGUAACCAUUCUUAUAGGUGGAGUCUCUUUUGUAUAUUGUCAUCCUGGCUCAGUCUAUUUGUUACGCGUGAGAUUUCUUAUUGGUUACGUCUGGUAAUGGUGUUAUGACUAAAAAUGACGGUGCCGCGACGAAACCGAGGGCCUCCUGUGGGUGAUCAACACAUGGUUGCGCUACUUGGCACGCGCUGGUAUCAUAGUUAGUAGUCAUAAUCCAUUAUGAGAUUAUAUCGAUAUGUUAUCUUUGCGCAAAUUGUUCUUAGCAUGUGAGAUUCAUUAUCAGUGCUAGUUCGAUGAUGGUGUCCUAGUUAAUGACUUUUGGUGCCGCGUAAAGCCGAAAGUCUCAUGUGGCGGCCGACACAUAAUAGUGUUGUUCGGUACGCUGGUAUCGAAGUUUCUGGUUAUGAUCCAUUAUGGAACUACACUGACAUGUUAUCUUCCAUAGACUGCUUCCUUGAAAUAAUUUCUAUGUUGUUUAUCAGAAUGAUCAAGCCACAUAUGCCAUCACUAUUGGACCAAGAGAGUAUAUAACUCUGAUGUAUUCCUUAAGUAAAGUUCUUUCCAGACCAGAAGUUUUCACCGAAAAUCGAAACCUAUCUGUGUCUAAUCGUGUGAUAAAAUCACCCUUUUCAUGUGGGGACUCCUUUCUCUUGAUCUUAAUGUCAACUGCACACAUGGAACCUUAUCUGUUCUCCUGUCAGAUAUCAUCUCUAUUACCGACAUCUCUAAUUAGCUUAAAGAUGAUACAUGCUAUACCCACUUGAGAAACAACAUCUUGAGAUACUUGUCUCCGCUUGGAACUACCUUAUGCUAUCGCUGAUAUGGACAGGAAUUACAUGCCUCUCUACUCUUAGAAGUCUUUCAUUCUGAAUCUCGGGACGAGAUUCUUUUAAGGGGGGAGGGUUGUAACACCCCAGGUGUUUAUCGUCUGCUCGACCACGAGUGCAGACUUUAACACGUGAUAGCAGUGAAUAAAAUGGACACUAAAUUUUAAUAAUCUUCGUCUAUCGCGAUUUUGAUAUCGUGUCUGUCUCCAUCUGUCUAAAUUGUCGCUAAUUUAUUUUUGCAAAAUUCAGACUUUAGUAAUCUUUCGAAACAUCGAAUUCAAUAUUGUUUGGGUUGAGCCAUCGACGUCUUGCCCAAACUCUAAUUCUUGAAAUCGGAUCUGGUUCCUAAACUGUGUUUCAAAUUCUUUCAUGCUUGCAUUGCACAUGUUUCUCUGUGGCCUGGCAUUGUGGCGCGUGGCAGGUGCUAACCGGUGUCUGGACAGCGCACAACCUCUCGCCCACGUGAACGAUGUUGUAUCGUUCUCGCGUAUUUAUUUCACGAAAUGUCGAGUCUUAGUCCUGUUUAAAACUAAUGGAUUAAGAGAACACGAAUUUGGGAUCCCGACCCACUUUUGUGGUUGUUGUACUAAGUAAAUGUUAUUAGAACUCGACAACAAUAGUAUUGCAGCAAAAUUUAAAUCUGACCGAGAUAAUUAGAGUCGGAACUGUGUAUCCAUAAUUAAUCUGUUUCACUGUCUACAACUGUGGAAAUUUGUCUGGUCCCGAAAAUACCUCCCAUUGUAAGCGCAGUCCAAAAACAUCAAAAUUUAUAUUAUUUUGAUUGGUCUGUUUGCAUCUCAUUUGGAUUCAAAUCCUAUAGCUAAAUUAUAUGUAUGUUCUUUUGUUAAAGGUUGGAGAAGAAAAAUCUUAAAUUUUCUCUUACCCACAGCUCAAGCUGCUCUCAGCCUUAUCCCCUACGCACGCCAAGCCUCAUCCUCCUAGCCGUCAUCUCCCUCACGGCGCCAAGCCCAUGGCUUUCCUGGUGCUCGCCUCUCCCAGUCAUUCCUAUCUCCAGCAUUGGCUGCCAUCUCCUCCACAAGGUGUCUUCUCCGUCGCCGCUCCUUGCGUGAUUCCCUUGGCCGGCGUCCUUGACUACUCAGCCAUGGAGGUCGCUGCCCCUUCUUUUCCUCAUCUCCCUCCAUCGGUUCUGAGCUUGGCGUCCCUGCUCCCUGCUCAUGUCCCUCCCAUGGACGCCGCCCCCUCCCUCAGCUCACUCCCUCUAGCCGCCAUGGAGCUCGCCCCUGCCCAAGUCCAAUUGCCUAUGUUUCCCCCUCUCUCUGUUGGUGGCUGGCGUCCCAUCUCCCUUGCGUUGGACGGCCGCCGCUUCAUUCUCGUCGCUGGCGUUUGUCCCUGCUCCAGCUAGUUCUCAUGGCCAUGCCCCUGUUCCCUAGGUCCGAGCUCGCCCAACUCCCUAGCCAUCUCUGCUCGCCCCUCUCCGUCUCUGUGCGAGCAGCAGCACGCCAGGGCAGACCUAUGUCCUCGACGCGCGCCAGGUGUUUGAUGGGAGGUUUGAACUAGAGUUCAUCAUUAUUUUCCAUCUGUGACCAAGUCUUUGCACAGCGAUGAAGUUAUAUUCUUACUUGAGUGUUUUGUCUCUCGGUGUCAAUUAUAAACUAUUAAUCAUGUGUAUAUUUGUGUGUUCUUGUGAGGAGAGAAACCCUCGGGACCGAUGGUGAAGAAGUGAAGCCCGUUCGACGCUUGCUAAAUGUUCGGUAGAAGGUUCGAACCAAAAAUCAUCGUCGAUCUCGUGAUUUCGAGUUUGGUUUAGUUAUGGUGAGCUCUUUCACAAUUCAUGGUAAUUACUUUGUAUGGGUGGAGGGAAUAGACAUAGUUGUUGUGAUGGUUAUCUUGUUUAUGUAUAUGCGGGGCGUGGACUAAAACACAGGGAUAGCGAGGAGCGUUUGAAUAGACCAGUACGUAUUAUUGUGAAGCCACGUUUUCUUUUAUUGGCGUGAUUGCGUGGGUAUGAAAUAGUUACGUCGUGUGAAGUCUAGGUUGAGAUGCAAAUUGUGUGAAUCAUUGGAUGAAGAUAUAUGCAUAGUAUAAUUAAAAAGGGAGUUCUUCUAUGUGAUGAUAUAAUGUAUAGAAUGUGCUUGGAUGAAUAUAGGUGCA
This 5316-nucleotide long non-coding RNA is filed under the name Zea mays. RNAcentral describes it as "long non-coding RNA (ZMAY_LNC003718)". The record is from RNAcentral. Lineage: Eukaryota; Viridiplantae; Streptophyta; Magnoliopsida; Poales; Poaceae.